AGUUGAAUUGAUGGGUUAUAUGGCAAAUUAAAGAAAGUGCCAAACUAUUUUCCAAAGUGACUCCUCCAUUUUACAUUUCCUUAAGCAAU
This 89-nucleotide microRNA precursor is filed under the name Marmota monax (woodchuck). The record is from RNAcentral. Lineage: Eukaryota; Metazoa; Chordata; Mammalia; Rodentia; Sciuridae.